Hyla sarda is the source of this 247-nucleotide long non-coding RNA. RefSeq lists it as uncharacterized. The record is from RefSeq and is a predicted model, not a curated record. NCBI's taxonomy places the organism in Eukaryota, Metazoa, Chordata, Amphibia, Anura, Hylidae. The transcript has 2 exons.
GUUUUGAUAAAUCUCCCUCAAAGUAGCUGGCUAUCAUUAGGAAGACAUAGCUCAUCAGUCCUGUUUACUGGCCUGAAUUUUAUGGAAUGACAGACAGAUUGGCUCUGCAGUUAACCCCAUGAUGCCUCAGCACAGCAUCAUAGGGUGAGCUAGAUUCAGUACCAUGUCUCCCUGCAGACCGAUCAGUUGAAAAAUAUAAUCUUUGUCAUUAGAACAGUUGGACAGGAGCCAGUCUAAUCACUAGCAG